CCUACGGGUGGCUGCAGUGGGGAAUAUUGCACAAUGGGGGGAACCCUGAUGCAGCGACGCCGCGUGGGCGAAGGAGUAUUUCGGUAUGUAAAGCCCUAUUAGCAGGGAAGAACAAUGACGGUACCUGACUAAGAAGCACCUGCUAAAUACGUGCCAGCAGCCGCGGUAAUACGGCUGGUGCAAGCGUUAACCGGAUUUACUGGGGGUAAAGGGAGCGCAGGCGGCGCGUUAAGCCUGGUGUGAAAGCCCGCGGCCCAACCGCGGAACUGCAUUGGAAACCGGCGCGCUGGAGUGCCGGAGGGGUAGGCGGAAUUCCUAGGGUAGCGGUGAAAUGCGUAGAUAUUAGGAAGAACACCAGUGGCGAAGGCGGGCUACUGGACGGUGACUGACGCUGAGGCUCGAAAGCGUGGGGAGCAAACAGGAUUAGAUACCCGAGUAGUC
This 441-nucleotide ribosomal RNA is filed under the name uncultured bacterium. RNAcentral describes it as "partial 16S ribosomal RNA". It matches the Rfam family "Bacterial small subunit ribosomal RNA", at positions 338 to 795 of the family's 1533-position model. The record is from RNAcentral.